CCCGAGUGCUUAAAGCCUCAUCACACGCCUUAACCGUCAGUGUGCCGUACAAGCGCUAACCAGAUCUGACAGUCACCCUGUGAGGUGUGCUGUACCGGAGGGGAGGAUGGUGAACCAAAGGGUUUCUGAUUAUGGGCCCAGGACUGAAAAGGUUGGAGAAUGCUGCUUUCUAAGAGGAUUUGUGGGCAUCAAGGAGGAUAAUAAAAUUGACAGCUGAGAACGAAGCAGAGGGAUAAUAAAAUAGACAGUUUGGAUCAAACCAAAA
Long non-coding RNA from Pezoporus occidentalis (night parrot), 265 nucleotides. RefSeq lists it as uncharacterized. NCBI's taxonomy places the organism in Eukaryota, Metazoa, Chordata, Aves, Psittaciformes, Psittacidae. The transcript is spliced from 2 exons. The record is from RefSeq and is a predicted model, not a curated record.